CUUUUUUUUUUCUUUUUAAUUUUAUUUUGUUUGAAGCAUGUUCAUGAUUAAAUCUGUAUGCUGGUUUAUUUGAGUCACUGCUCUCUGAUUGUGGUUUCCUCAAUCCUAAUUCUUCCUCUUUUUUUCUUUUGUUUUCCUCCAUUUCUUUCCUUCCUUUCUUUUUGGUUUUGAGAAGCCCUUUCAGUAUUUCUUUUAACCUGGGUUUUGUGUUGCUGUAUUCUUUUAGCUUUUGUUUGUUGGAAAAAAAAUUUAUUUCCCCUUCUAUUUUAAAUGAUAAUCUUGCUGGAUAGAGUGUUCUCGGUUGCAUAUUUUUUUCCUUUUAGCACUUUAAAUAUCUCUUGCCAUUCCCUCCUGGCCUGUAUAGUUUCGGUAGAGAAAUCAGCUGAUAACCUUAUGGGGGUUCCCUUGUAGGUAACAUUCUUCUUUUCUCUUGCUGCCUUUAGGAUCCUCUCUUUAUCAGUAACUUUUGCCAUUUUUAUGAUAAUGUGUCUUGGUGUGGGUCUAUUUGGGUUCAGUUUGUUUGGGGCCCUCUGUGCUUCUUGUAUCUUGAACCUGGUAUCCUUUAGAUUUGGGAAGUUUCCAGCAAUAAUUUCUUCAAAUAUAUUUUCCAUUCCCUUAUCUUUUCUACUCCUGGAAUUCCUAUUAUGCAUAGAUUGGCCCGCUGUAUAUUAUCCCAUAGGUCUCUUAUAUUGUUUUCAUGUUUUUUCAUUUGGUUUUCUGUCUGCUGACCUGAUUGGGUGAUUUCCAUUAUUCUAUCUUCCACAUCACUGAUUCGUUCUUCUGCAUUAUUCAUUCUGGUUUUUACUGCCCCUAGUUCAGUUUGCAUCUCUGCAAAUGAAUUUUCUAGUUUUUCUUGGCUCCUCCUUAUAUUUUCUAGUUCCUUUCUGAGGGUGUCUGCAUUACUGUUCAUAUCUUCUCUUAAUUCCUUCAGUAUUUUCACUAUUUCUCUUUUGAACUCAAGUUCUGCCAGACUGCAGAGAUCUGUUUCAUUGUUGACUGCUUCAGGUGAGUUCUCCUGUUGGUUUGACUGCGGGUGGUUUCUCAGCUUCUUCAUCUUGCUUGUUUUCUUUUUCUUGGUGGAGUUGUACUCUCCGUUAUCGGGCAGUGUUUGCCUUGUCACUGCCAUGGAAUGUUUCUUUAGGGCUGGUGUUGGUCGGUCUUUUUUGAGGCAGCAUGGCUUUUCUGUAGGGUGGGUGGGGCUGACAGGGUCUCUCUGAAGCAAAGGAGGACUUCCCAAGGGCAGGCAGGACUGGGAGAUCCACACCACGGUGGGAGCAGAUUUCACUUGGCCAGGCAGAGCUUGCUCUGGUGUUUUUGGGCUGUGGGGCUCUUGCAGGGGGCUGGUGGUGCUGGGCAGCUGUUCCACAGGAGUGCAGCAUCCCCCAAGGGCUGGAGCAGCUAUCUGGGUCACUGAGAACCCAAGAGGCUCUUCCCCAGGGCAGCCUGACUCAGAAGGAGUGUCUGAGAAUGUAGGCAGAUCUUUUCAUGGCCCGGCCAAACUUUUCUAGCUUUUCUGAGCUUCAGGCCUUUUCCUGUGGGCUGGUGGUGUAUGGUGCUGCUCUGCAGGCGUCUAGGCCCUCCAAAGGGCAAGCAGGCCAGGGCAGGGACAGCCCCUGCAGUGGUAGGCUUCUGGAAAUUGUUGAGGCCAGCCCUCCCAGAUGGCAGGCAGCCCCAGGUCUGGCGUGUGCAUAAGGGGUGGCUGGGGGAGAUGCACUGGGAAACACAGCUUUCUGAUAGCUUGCAGGCCAAUAAGCUUGGUCUGGCAUUGGGAGUAUUCCAUGCGGGCCCGCCCCUUCUUCUCUCCCCUCCCCAACACUGGUGCAGACCCAGAUCUUCUCCCAGAUUCCCUCUGAUGUGACUUUCCACUUCCCCGCCCUUAGCAUAUUGCUCCCUCCCCCUGCAACACUCUGCUUUCUAGUCUCCCAGGCAGUCUCUGUCCCAUCAAACUUGACAGACCAGUUCCUUGACCCCUCAAGCCAUCUCUGCUCCACCCACCCCAGCCCUUUCCCAGGGACUAACCUCCAGAGCCGAGUCUUGGUGUCCAGCCCCCACCCAAGUGUCUCAGUUUUUGGUGACUGUGCCAGUAGUUCAGAAGAUCUGUUCAGUUCUCUCUCUGCUUUUCAGAACUCUGACUUACUGCUGCGCUCUUCUCAUAUCUGGAGAUUCCUCCAGUUUGGUUGAUCUGUCCAUUGAGUAGGUGGCUUUCCAGGGUGUGGGAUCCCUUUCUCCUCCACAGUUCCCUUUCAGGAGUGCCUUUCCAGCUCAGAUUCACCUUUUCUCACUCUCCACUUUUCUCUUGUUUUAUCUAGUAAUGUCACAAGAUUCUUGCCAUUAUUGGAGUUUAGGUUCUUCUGCCAGUGAUUGGUUGCUGUUCUUUGUGAGUCAUUUAUCCUGUAGAUGUGUUUUUUGUGUGUGUGUUUGUGGGAGAGGGUGAGCGUGUUCCCCUACUCUUCCACUAUCUUGCCUCCGCUCCCACUCAUACUACUCUUAAUUCAGUAUAACUUUUGCCCUAAUCACUUCCCUAAUGUUUUCUUCAUGUCUUGCUUUUAAGAUAAAUUGAAUUAAUUUUGUUCUUCACACACUUUAACCCUUGCAUUUUAUUUUACAAAUCUAACUACACAUCUUUAUGAAACCC
RNAcentral lists this long non-coding RNA (2635 nucleotides) under Sus scrofa (pig). Its description in RNAcentral is "lncRNA (ENSSSCG00035040274.1)". The record is from RNAcentral. Lineage: Eukaryota; Metazoa; Chordata; Mammalia; Artiodactyla; Suidae.